GAGUUUGAUCUUGGCUCAGGAUGAACGCUAGCGGCAGGCCUAAUACAUGCAAGUCGAACGGGAUCCAGAUCAAAGCUUGCUUUGGUUUGGUGAGAGUGGCGCACGGGUGCGUAACGCGUGAGCAACCUACCCUUGUCAGGGGGAUAGCCCGGCGAAAGUCGGAUUAAUACCGCAUGACAUCAUUGAGAGGCAUCUUUCGAUGAUCAAAGAAUUAUCGGACAAGGAUGGGCUCGCGUGACAUUAGCUAGUUGGUAAGGUAACGGCUUACCAAGGCUACGAUGUCUAGGGGCUCUGAGAGGAGAAUCCCCCACACUGGUACUGAGACACGGACCAGACUCCUACGGGAGGCAGCAGUAAGGAAUAUUGGUCAAUGGACGGAAGUCUGAACCAGCCAUGCCGCGUGCAGGAAGACUGCCCUAUGGGUUGUAAACUGCUUUUGUACGGGAACAAACGUCGGUACGCGUACCGGUCUGAGUGUACCGUAAGAAUAAGGAUCGGCUAACUCCGUGCCAGCAGCCGCGGUAAUACGGAGGAUCCGAGCGUUAUCCGGAAUUAUUGGGUUUAAAGGGUGCGUAGGCGGCCGAAUAAGUCAGGGGUGAAAGGCGUCAGCUCAACUGUCGCAGUGCCUUUGAUACUGUUUGGCUUGAAUGUGGUUGAAGAUGGCGGAAUGAGACAAGUAGCGGUGAAAUGCAUAGAUAUGUCUCAGAACCCCGAUUGCGAAGGCAGCUAUCUAAGCCGUUAUUGACGCUGAUGCACGAAAGCGUGGGGAGCAAACAGGAUUAGAUACCCUGGUAGUCCACGCCCUAAACGAUGAUAACUCGAUGUUGGCGAUAUACAGUCAGCGUCUUAGCGAAAGCGUUAAGUUAUCCACCUGGGGAGUACGCCGGCAACGGUGAAACUCAAAAGAAUUGACGG
This 915-nucleotide ribosomal RNA is filed under the name bacterium ADC-6-2. RNAcentral describes it as "bacterial SSU rRNA". It matches the Rfam family "Bacterial small subunit ribosomal RNA", at positions 9 to 916 of the family's 1533-position model. The record is from RNAcentral.